CUCUAUCUGUUGUUGGAUUGGUAAAUAUCUUUUCCCAAUCUCUUGGUUGCCGUUUUAUCCUAACCACAGUGUCCUUUCCCUUCCAGAAGCUUUGCAGUUUUAUGAGACCCCAUUUGUCAAUUCUUGAUCUUAGAGCAUAAACCAUUGGUGUUUUGUUCAGGAAAUUUUUUCCAGUGCCCAUGUGUUUGAGAUGCUGGCCUAGUUUUUCUUCUAUUAGUUUGACUGUAUCUGGUUUGAUUUGGAGGUCCUUAAUCCACUUGGACUUAAGCUUUGCACACGGUGAUAAGCAUGGAACGGUUUGCACUCUUCUACAUGCUGACCUCCAGUUGAACCAGCACCAUUUCCUGAAAAUGCUCUUUUUUCCAUUGAAUGGUUUUGGCUCCUUUGUCAAAAGUAAAGUGCCCAUAGGUGUGUGGGUUCAUUUCUGGGAGCUGCCUUAUGUAUAAUACCCAAGAGCUAGAAGAAUCCGUAAUGGCAUUCAUCAGAGGAAUGAAUACAGAAAAUGUAGUACAUCUAAACAAUUGUGUACUACUCAACUCUUAAAACCAAUUAUCUCAAGAAAGCCAAAGACAAAUGGGAUGAUCUAGAAAAUAUCAUAAUGAUUGAGGUUACCCAAUCACAAAAUGGUAUGAAAUCACACAUUUUAUGAAAUCACCAAAAGUGGAUAUUGGCACAAAAGCUAAAAUUACCAAAGAUGCAGGUCACAGACAACUGGAAGCUCAAUAAAAUGAUACACAAAAUGUGCAUGCUUUAAUCCUUUUCAAAAGGUGGACACAAUAAUAUCUAUGAAUUUCGAGCAGAGACUGAGGAAAUCCCAUUCAGAGCAGGCCGUACAUGUGGCAAAAAUAUAUCCACAUCAGUCACCAAAACUAGAUAAGAUUGAUGGAGCUAAGAAGUGCAUUGUGCCAGGGACUGUAUAGAGAUCUUUCCUGUGAGACACAGCUAGAGCAUAUCAAAUAAAGAAGUGAAUUCUAGAGGCAAAUCAGUGAAUUGAAAACGGACAGUAGGGGAGUUAUAGAAAAAGAGGAGUGGGGCCGGUUAGGGAUCAUAUGUGCAGGUAAUAGGGAAAGGAAAUAACAUUUCAAAUGUAAAUAUAGAAAUACCCAAUUAAAACAGGAAUAAAAUUUGCUAAAAAAAUAAAAAGAAAUAAAGAAAUUUAAGAAAAGAACACUGCGAAGUAUUCACAGCUAUUGACUCAGAAAUGUAAAAGUCAUUUUCAUGGAAUGAUAGUCAGAGUAAUACUAAUGGAAAGACUGAGAUGAUGAAGACUCAACUAGAAACACUUCUCUCUCCCAGAUAUCAGUAUCAGACAAAAACUGCACUAUAGGCAUCCAGAGCAUGGUGGAAUUUACUCUGAGGCGAGGACUCAAUACUUGUCUUUCCAUUCUUCCUUAGGACCAUUUUCUUCUUGACAAAAAGAAUAAGGCUAUGAGAUCUCAGCAAAACAACUGUGCCCUGCCCAUCACUUGGCUUUGGAAUAAAAAAAAAAUAAUGAUAUAAACUCUUUGACUUCCAGGAAUGAUAUGAACAGGUAAGUCCAGAUGCUUCUGAAAGGCUCCCAGCUCCUGAUUCCCAUAUGUGGAAGAUUCACAUCAAGCCUAACUCUUCAGAGAUCCCACUCAAUCCCUACUAAGGACUCUGAGCUAUCCCAAGGAUGAUGUACAUCUUCCUUUUUUUAUACAAAGAUAGAAGGCCAGCUUCCUUCUCCACAUCACUGAAAUCUUUAUCCUCUUUGUUCUCCCUCCCAUAUGGCUGUUUACCGUGAAUUAGAGGUCAAUUAUUAAACCCUAGAGGUACUGCAAGAAUAUCAGAGAGGCAGUUGCAGCCACAACAACACUUGUGAUGUCACAGAAGCAGCUAGGGAGUCCAGGUUACAAGAGAUACUUGCAGUAGGGCCAAAUCAUGAUGUCACUGUGAACUGCCAUGUCCUACCUGCUAAACAGAUUUCCCUACAUUGACCAGAUUUUGAGUGCCCUUUCCAGGAACUGUAAGAGCAGGAAGUCCAGAUGCUUCUGAGAGGACCCCAGCUUCUAAUUCCCAUUUGUAGACGGCUCAGAUCAAGACAAUCUCUUCAUGAAACAACUCAACACCUACUAAGGACUCAGAGAGCUUUCCCAAGGACCUUUUUUGUACCAAGACAGAAGGACCAAAACCAUCAGCUUUAAAGAAAACUGUGCCCUUCCCAACACUUGGCUUUGGAAAAAAGACAUGAAUGAUAUAAAUUCUCCGACUUCCAGGAACCAUAACUAGCAGGGAAGUCCAGAUGCAUCUGAGAGGCUCCCAUCUCCUGAUUACCAUAUUUGGAAGGCUCCAAUCAAUACUAUCUUUUCAGCAAACCUUCUCAACCACUACCCAGAAAUGACUGAGAUUUCCCAUGGACCACAUAUUUCUUUUUUUUUAUAACAAAGCAGAAGGCCAGCUUCCUUCUUCCCAUCUUUGAUCACUUCAUCCUCUUUUUUCUCCUUCCCAAAGGCUGUUUAUGCUGAAUUAGAGGCCAAAUAGUAAACCCUAGAGGUACUGAAGGACUACUGGAAAGGCAACUUCUGUCAGGACAACACUUGUUUCAUCACAGAAGAAACUAGGGAUCUCCAGGAUACAACAGAUUUUUUUAGAUAGGCCUAAUGGUGAUGUCACUGAGAAUUGCCAUGGCCUACCUGCUAAAGUGUUUUCCUUUCAAUGACCAGAUUCGAGGGUGCCCUUGCAAGGUUUGUCUCCUGUGAAACAAUGGAAACCUUUUCAUACUA
Molecule: non-coding RNA, 2744 nt
Organism: Rattus norvegicus (Norway rat)
Lineage: Eukaryota; Metazoa; Chordata; Mammalia; Rodentia; Muridae
Source: RefSeq, a predicted model, not a curated record